Molecule: ribosomal RNA, 1503 nt
Filed under: metagenome
Description: bacterial SSU rRNA
Rfam family: Bacterial small subunit ribosomal RNA
Source: RNAcentral
AGAGUUUGAUCAUGGCUCAGAACGAACGCUGGCGGCGUGGCUAAGGCAUGCAAGUCGAACGGACUCCUUUGAUGGGUAACCUGAUUUGGAAGUUAGUGGCGAACUGGUGAGGAAUACAUGGAUAACGUACCCCAGACUCAGGGAUAGCGGCGGAACUUCGGUUCCUUUGCGAAAGUGCCGGUAAUACCUGAUGAUCCCGCGGAUUCUCCUGAUUCUGCGGGCAAAGCUCCGACGGUCUGGGAGCGGUUCAUGUCCUAUCAGCUUGUUGGUGAGGUAACGGCCCACCAAGGCUUUGACGGGUACCGGGCGUGAGAGCGUGAACCGACACAUCGGAACUGAGACACUGUCCGGACACCUGCGGGUGGCUGCAGCAACGAAUAUUCCGCAAUGGACGAAAGUCUGACGGAGCGACGCCGCGUGCAGGAAGAAGUCCCUCGGGAUGUAAACUGCUGUCAGGGGCAAGGAACAAUGACCAGCCCCAGAGGAAGCACCGGCUAACUCCGUGCCAGCAGCCGCGGUAACACGGAGGGUGCGAGCGUUGUUCGGAAUUACUGGGCUUAAAGUGCGUGUAGGCGGGGUGUCAGGUGUUGUGUGAAAUCCCCGGGCUCAACCCGGGAAUUGCACGGCAAACCGGCACUCUUGAGGCAGGUAGAGGUGAUUGGAACGACUGGUGGAGCGGUGAAAUGCGUAGAUAUCAGUUGGAACGCCAGAGGCGAAAGCGAGUCACUGGGCCUGUCCUGACGCUGAGACGCGAAAGCGUGGGUAGCAAACAGGAUUAGAUACCCUGGUAGUCCACGCCGUAAACGAUGCGCACUAGGUAUGAGAGGUUCUGACGCCGAUCGUGCCGAAGCAAAAGUGGUAAGUGCGCCGCCUGGGGAGUACGGCCGCAAGGCUAAAACUAAAAGGAAUUGACGGGGGCUCACACAAGCGGUGGAGCAUGUGGUUUAAUUCGACGCAACGCGAAGAACCUUACCUGGAUUUGACAUCCUCUGACAGCCCUGGAAACAGGGUCUUUCCGACUUGUCGGAACAGAGUGACAGGUGCUGCAUGGCUGUCGUCAGCUCGUGUCGUGAGAUGUUGGGUUAAGUCCCGCAACGAGCGCAACCCUUGUCUUCAGUUGCCAGUAUUAAGUUAGGCACUCUGAAGAUACUGCCUCGGUUAACGAGGAGGAAGGUGGGGAUGACGUCAAGUCCUCAUGGCCUUUAUAUCCAGGGCUACACACGUGCUACAAUGGGCUGUACAAAGGGUCGCCAGACCGCGAGGUUGAGCCAAUCCCAAAAAGCAGCUCUCAGUUCGGAUUGGAGUCUGCAACUCGACUCCAUGAAGUUGGAAUCGCUAGUAAUCGUGGAUCAGCAUGCCACGGUGAAUACGUUCCCGGGCCUUGUACACACCGCCCGUCACACCACGAAAGUCGGCUGUACCAGAAGUUGCUGGGCUAACCCCAUUAGGGGAGGCAGGCACCUAAGGUACGGUCGGUAAUUGGGGUGAAGUCGUAACAAGGUA